This 886-nucleotide ribosomal RNA is filed under the name Salmonella enterica subsp. enterica serovar 4,[5],12:i:-. RNAcentral describes it as "partial 23S ribosomal RNA". It matches the Rfam family "Bacterial large subunit ribosomal RNA", at positions 501 to 1300 of the family's 2925-position model. The record is from RNAcentral. Lineage: Bacteria; Pseudomonadati; Pseudomonadota; Gammaproteobacteria; Enterobacterales; Enterobacteriaceae.
CCGUGAGGGAAAGGCGAAAAGAACCCCGGCGAGGGGAGUGAAAAAGAACCUGAAACCGUGUACGUACAAGCAGUGGGAGCACAGGUUUACCUGUGUGACUGCGUACCUUUUGUAUAAUGGGUCAGCGACUUAUAUUCUGUAGCAAGGUUAACCGUAUAGGGGAGCCGUAGGGAAACCGAGUCUUAACCGGGCGUUAAGUUGCAGGGUAUAGACCCGAAACCCGGUGAUCUAGCCAUGGGCAGGUUGAAGGUUGGGUAACACUAACUGGAGGACCGAACCGACUAAUGUUGAAAAAUUAGCGGAUGACCUGUGGCUGGGGGUGAAAGGCCAAUCAAACCGGGAGAUAGCUGGUUCUCCCCGAAAGCUAUUUAGGUAGCGCCUCGUGAAUUCAUCUCCGGGGGUAGAGCACUGUUUCGGCUAGGGGGCCAUCCCGGCUUACCAACCCGAUGCAAACUGCGAAUACCGGAGAAUGUUAUCACGGGAGACACACGGCGGGUGCUAACGUCCGUCGUGAAGAGGGAAACAACCCAGACCGCCAGCUAAGGUCCCAAAGUCAUGGUUAAGUGGGAAACGAUGUGGGAAGGCCCAGACAGCCAGGAUGUUGGCUUAGAAGCAGCCAUCAUUUAAAGAAAGCGUAAUAGCUCACUGGUCGAGUCGGCCUGCGCGGAAGAUGUAACGGGGCUAAACCAUGCACCGAAGCUGCGGCAGCGAACGUAUCACCCAAGACAACUUUACGGAGUUGACGAUUGACGGAGCGAAGCGACGUCAAAGCGUUCAUUAAAGUCGAGUUGGCUUAGGGAUACGUUCGUUGGGUAGGGGAGCGUUCUGUAAGCCUGUGAAGGUGUGUCGUGAGGCAUGCUGGAGGUAUCAGAAGUGCGAAUGCUGA